Long non-coding RNA from Oreochromis aureus, 360 nucleotides. The record is from Ensembl. NCBI's taxonomy places the organism in Eukaryota, Metazoa, Chordata, Actinopteri, Cichliformes, Cichlidae.
CGGGAACCGGAAGUUGUGCGCGGGAGAGACAAGACAGAGCGGUAACACGGCGGACUUUUUGGAAUGUACAUCUUUUCUACUGCUGGUUUUACAAGGCGUACACGGUAAAAAGCAUUACGCUGUUAUUUGUUUAACACUUGUGCACUUUGUGAAAAGAAAUAUGUCGCUGAGAUGAAUAUAUGUGCUAUUGAUAUUAUUUUUUACUUGUUUCUAGUUUUCACGGUGCUCCAUGAUUGCGUACACGGUAAAAAGCAUUACGCUGUUAUUUGUUUAACACUUGUGCACUUUGUGAAAAGAAAUAUGUCGCUGAGAUGAAUAUAUGUGCUAUUGAUAUUAUUUUUUACUUGUUUCUAGUUUUCA